Molecule: ribosomal RNA, 503 nt
Filed under: uncultured Halobacteria archaeon
Lineage: Archaea; Methanobacteriati; Methanobacteriota; Halobacteria
Description: bacterial SSU rRNA
Rfam family: Archaeal small subunit ribosomal RNA
Source: RNAcentral
GCCAUUGCUAUCGGGGUCCGAUUUAGCCAUGCUAGUCGCACGGGUUCAGACCCGUGGCGAACAGCUCAGUAACACGUGGCCAAGCUACCCUGUGGACACGGACAACCUCGGGAAACUGAGGCUAAUCCGCGAUACCGCUCCCAGGCUGGAGUGCCGGGAGCGCCAAACGCUCCGGCGCCACAGGAUGCGGCUGCGGCCGAUUAGGUAGACGGUGGGGUAACGGCCCACCGUGCCGAUAAUCGGUACGGGUGGUGAGAGCCAGAGCCCGGAGAUGGAAUCUGAGACAAGAUUCCAGGCCCUACGGGGCGCAGCAGGCGCGAAACCUUUACACUGCACGACAGUGCGAUAAGGGGACCCCGAGUGCGAGGGCAUACAGUCCUCGCUUUUGUGUACCGUAGGGAGGUACACGAAUAAGGGCUGGGCAAGACCGGUGCCAGCCGCCGCGGUAAUACCGGCAGCUCAAGUGAUGGCCGCUGUUAUUGGGCCUAAAGCGUCCGUAGCCG